GAUGAACGCUGGCGGCGUGCCUAAUACAUGCCAGUCGAGCGAACAGACGAGGAGCUUGCUCCUCUGACGUUAGCGGCGGACGGGUGAGUAACACGUGGAUAACCUACCUAUAAGACUGGGAUAACUUCGGGAAACCGGAGCUAAUACCGGAUAAUAUAUUGAACCGCAUGGUUCAAUAGUGAAAGACGGUUUUGCUGUCACUUAUAGAUGGAUCCGCGCCGCAUUAGCUAGUUGGUAAGGUAACGGCUUACCAAGGCGACGAUGCGUAGCCGACCCGAGAGGGUGAUCGGCCACACUGGAACUGAGACACGGUCCAGACUCCUACGGGAGGCAGCAGUAGGGAAUCUUCCGCAAUGGGCGAAAGCUUGACGGAGCAACGCCGCGUGAGUGAUGAAGGUCUUCGGAUCGUAAAACUCUGUUAUUAGGGAAGAACAAAUGUGUAAGUAACUAUGCACGUCUUGACGGUACCUAAUCAGAAAGCCACGGCUAACUACGUG
This 497-nucleotide ribosomal RNA is filed under the name uncultured bacterium. RNAcentral describes it as "partial 16S ribosomal RNA". It matches the Rfam family "Bacterial small subunit ribosomal RNA", at positions 28 to 507 of the family's 1533-position model. The record is from RNAcentral.